RNAcentral lists this ribosomal RNA (493 nucleotides) under uncultured bacterium. RNAcentral's name for it is "partial 16S ribosomal RNA". It matches the Rfam family "Bacterial small subunit ribosomal RNA", at positions 29 to 523 of the family's 1533-position model. The record is from RNAcentral.
AUUAAACGCUGGCGGCAUGCUUUACACAUGCAAGUCGAACGGUAACAGGUUAAGCUGACGAGUGGCGAACGGGUGAGUAAUGCAUCGGAACGUGCCCGAUCGUGGGGGAUAACGCAGCGAAAGCUGCGCUAAUACCGCAUACGAUCUGAGGAUGAAAGCGGGGGACCGUAAGGCCUCGCGCGAUCGGAGCGGCCGAUGUCAGAUUAGGUAGUUGGUGGGGUAAAGGCUCACAAAGCCGACGAUCUGUAGCUGGUCUGAGAGGACGACCAGCCACACGGGGACUGAGACACGGCCCAGACUCCUACGGGAGGCAGCAGUGGGGAAUUUUGGACAAUGGGCGAAAGCCUGAUCCAGCAAUGCCGCGGGCAGGAAGAAGGCCUUCGGGUUGGAAACUGCUUUUGUACGGAGCGAAAAGGCUCUCUCUAAUACAGGGGGCUCAUGACGGUACCGUAAGAAUAAGCACCGGCUAACUACGUGCCAGCCGCCGCGGUAA